This 403-nucleotide ribosomal RNA is filed under the name uncultured bacterium. RNAcentral describes it as "bacterial SSU rRNA". It matches the Rfam family "Bacterial small subunit ribosomal RNA", at positions 358 to 773 of the family's 1533-position model. The record is from RNAcentral.
GGAAUAUUGCACAAUGGACGGAAGUCUGAUGCGGCGACGCCGCGUGAGGGAUGACGGCCUUCGGGUUGUAAACCUCUUUCGACAGGGACGAAGCGUAAGUGACGGUACCUGUAGAAGAAGCGCCGGCCAACUACGUGCCAGCAGCCGCGGUAAGACGUAGGGCGCAAGCGUUGUCCGGAUUUAUUGGGCGUAAAGAGCUCGUAGGCGGCUUGUUGCGUCGAUCGUGAAAACUCACAGCUUAACUGUGGGCUUGCGGUUGAUACGGGCAGGCUGGAGUUCGGUAGGGGAGACUGGAAUUCCUGGUGUAGCGGUGAAAUGCGCAGAUAUCAGGAGGAACACCGGUGGCGAAGGCGGGUCUCUGGGCCGAUACUGACGCUGAGGAGCGAAAGCGUGGGGAGCGAAC